This 498-nucleotide ribosomal RNA is filed under the name uncultured bacterium. RNAcentral's name for it is "partial 16S ribosomal RNA". It matches the Rfam family "Bacterial small subunit ribosomal RNA", at positions 28 to 507 of the family's 1533-position model. The record is from RNAcentral.
GAUGAACGCUGGCGGCGUGCCUAAUACAUGCAAGUCGAGCGGACGGACGGGAGCUUGCUUCCAGUCCGUUUGCCGCGGACCGGUGAGUUACACGUUGGAAACCUGCCUGUAAGACUGGGAUAACUCCCGGAAACCGGGGCUAAUUACGGCUAACUCUUUCCCACAGAUGAGGGCAAUCUGAAAGAUGGCAUUUCGCUAUCACUUAAGGAUGGGCCCGCGGCGCUUUAGCUAGUUGGUGAGGUAACGGCUCACCAAGGCGACGAUGCGGAGCCGACCUGAGAGGGUGAUCGGCCACACUGGGACUGAGACACGGCCCAGACUCCUACGGGAGGCAGCAGUAGGGAAUCUUCCGCAAUGGACGAAAGUCUGACGGAGCAACGCCGCGUGAGUGAUGAAGGUUUUCGGAUCGUAAAACUCUGUUGUCAGGGAAGAACAAGUACCGGAGUAACUGCCGGUACCUUGACGGUACCUAAACAGAAAGCCACGGCUAACUACGUG